GCUCCUUGUGCAUUCAUCAGAGCCCUGCAGCAGAGAGCCUUCAAGACAGACAUUCAUAUGUCAAGAACUCAGCUUUGCUUUACUUGAUGUCCCAGACAGAUUAGCAGACAAGGAGCUCGAGAGCCACUGGAGAACAUGCCAGAACAAGUCCUUGUGCCCCAUCUGUGUGGAUGAUGGCUAUUACACUGCAGCUUGAAAACACUGUUUCCACGGCAGAGAGACCACUUGAGAAAAGAGUCCAUGAGAAGCAGAGCAACUGGAAGACUUAUUUUCUGUCCCAUAUUACACCACACUUGGAGAGAUGGCAGACUCUGGUGACAUGAUACCAGCAAAACUGAGAAGCCACCCAUCCUGAGAGAUAUGGUUUAUUAAAAAAUCAUGAUCAGAUUCA
This is a non-coding RNA of Peromyscus maniculatus bairdii (prairie deer mouse), 391 nucleotides long. Lineage: Eukaryota; Metazoa; Chordata; Mammalia; Rodentia; Cricetidae. The record is from RefSeq and is a predicted model, not a curated record.